Molecule: long non-coding RNA, 515 nt
Filed under: Olea europaea (common olive)
Lineage: Eukaryota; Viridiplantae; Streptophyta; Magnoliopsida; Lamiales; Oleaceae
Description: long non-coding RNA (OEUR_LNC010820)
Source: RNAcentral
UUCCACUAAUCAUACCUAUUCAAGAACUCAAUUAAAAACUCUAGGAUUUACCAAAAUUAGUAUUUCUUACCUUGAUACAAAGAUCUUUCACAAAUCUGCUUGAAAUCAUACUGUUUCCAUCAAUCCGAAAAUGGAACUAUCAAAUUUGCCCAACUACUUAGAAGCCUAGAAAAUUUUAUAUGAAUUAUACCACAAAAUAUUUACCUCUUUCCUCUCUAAAAAUUGAAGAAAUUGAAUAAUGGAACUCAAGAUUUUCUUCACCCUUUUUUCUUUAUCUUCUCUUUUCUCUUUUCUCUUUUCUUUCUCCUUUUUUCUCUCUCUCGGUCUCUCUCAAUUUUUCCGGUUUCUUCUCUCCCAGCCAUUUCUUCUUGUGUGUGUAUGUAAAGAAUUGGAAGAAAUGGUUUAUAACAUGACACUUGUAUUCCACUAACCCCAAAUUUUGCCAUUCAAGUCCUUCAACAUUAAUAUAUCUUAACAUUAAAUCUUUUACUUCCAAAAAUAGAAAAAUAAAUCCC